GACGAACGCUGGCGGCGUGCCUAACACAUGCAAGUCGAACGAGGUCCAUCCGGUGGCAACACCGGGGAAGACCUAGUGGCGAACGGGUGAGUAACACGUGAGGAACUUGCCCCGGAGACCGGGAUAACUCUCCGAAAGGAGAGCUAAUACCGGAUACCUCCACCGAGUCGCAUGGCUGGGUGAAGAAAUGGAUUCCGCUCCGGGAGAGCCUCGCGGCCUAUCAGCUUGUUGGUGGGGUAACGGCCCACCAAGGCGUCGACGGGUAGCUGGUCUGAGAGGACGAUCAGCCACACUGGGACUGAGACACGGCCCAGACUCCUACGGGAGGCAGCAGUGGGGAAUCUUGCGCAAUGGGCGAAAGCCUGACGCAGCAACGCCGCGUGCGGGAUGAAGGCCUUCGGUUGUAAACCGCUUUACAGUGGGCACGAAGCCAAGA
RNAcentral lists this ribosomal RNA (436 nucleotides) under uncultured bacterium. Its description in RNAcentral is "bacterial SSU rRNA". It matches the Rfam family "Bacterial small subunit ribosomal RNA", at positions 28 to 457 of the family's 1533-position model. The record is from RNAcentral.